This 1106-nucleotide ribosomal RNA is filed under the name Oroperipatus sp. DVL-2011. RNAcentral's name for it is "large subunit ribosomal RNA". Lineage: Eukaryota; Metazoa; Onychophora; Udeonychophora; Euonychophora; Peripatidae. The record is from RNAcentral.
AGUAAUAUAUUACUUAUGUUUUUGUUAAUAAAAUAAUAUGUUUAAUAAGAUUUUUAUAAAAAGUUUAAGUUAUUAAUUUGUUUACAUAAAUUAAAUAAAAGUUUUAUUGGGAUAUGUUAAAAUAUUGGAUAUUUAUAUUUAAAAAUAUAUGAUAAUUUAAUUAUUUAAAAUGAGAUUAUAUAAGAAUUGGAAAGGAAAUAUUAAAAUUAGAAUAGUAAUUAUUUGUACUUUUUGCAUAAUGGGUUUAUGAAAAAUAUGAAGUUUUCCAUCUCUAAAAGAGUUGAUCUAAAUUUUUAAUUAAGGAUUGUUGCAGAAAUGUUUAAAUGGGAAUUUAGAAGUGAAAUGCUGAUGAAACUUUUGAUAUAUAGUUCUUAUUAUGUUACUAUAGGUAAUUUUUUAAUAUAAAAUUAUAUAUUAUUGGAUUAGUAAUAAUAUUAAUAUAAAUUUGUUUAAAAGUAAAAGUAAGUUAAUUAUGAAUAAUGUAAGCUUAAAUAUAUAGAAAAAUUUGAUUUUAGGAAUUUGGCAANAAUUGUUUCAUCUGUUUAUCAAAAACAUAGCUUUUUGUAUAUAUAAAAGGUGAUGCCUGCUCAAUGACAAUUAAAUAGCCNUAGUAUUUAUGACUAUGCAAAGGUAGCAUAAUCAUUUGUCUUAUAAAUUAAGACUAGAAUGAAUGGAUUAAUGGGGCAAUGCUUUCUUUGAUCAAAAAUUAAAAAUAAUUUUUUUAGUGAAGAAACUAAAAUNAAAUUAAGGGACGAGAAGACCCUAUUAAGCUUGAAUAAAAUAUUUUUGUUGGGGAAACAAAAGAAANAAUUUUCUUUAAAAANUUUUUUUGAUAAUUUUUGAUUAAUUAUUAAUUAUGAUAGAUUAAGUUACUAUAGGGAUAACAGCAUAAUUUUUUUNNNAAAGUUCUUAUUAACAAAAAAUAUUAUGACNUCGAUGUUGGAUUAAAAUUAUUAUAUAAUGAAGUUGUUGUAUAAAUUAGUCUGUUCGACUAUUGAAUUUUUACAUGAUCUGAGUUCAAAUCGGUGUAAGCCAGAUUGGUUUCUAUCUUUAAAUAUUUUGUAUUAGUACGAAAGGACCAUAUGAAGUUUUUUAGAAAGUUGUUU